CCCUUAGAUGUUCUGGGCCGCACGCGUGCUACACUGAGUAAUUCAAUGGGUAAGGGAACGCUAGAGCAUUACCUAAUCUUGAAAUUUGCUCGUGAUGGGGAUCGACGGUUGCAAUUUUCCGUCGUGAACGAGGAAUACCUUGUAGGCGCAUGUCAUCAUCAUGCGCCGAAUACGUCCCUGCCCUUUGUACACACCGCCCGUCGCUCCUACCGAUUGAGUGAUCCGGUGAGGCUCUGGGACCUGGACGGAAAGAGCGUUUCGCUUGUUCUGUUUGGGAAACUUGGUCGAACCUUAUCAUUUAGAGGAAGGAGAAGUCUUAACA
RNAcentral lists this ribosomal RNA (322 nucleotides) under uncultured eukaryote. RNAcentral describes it as "partial 18S ribosomal RNA". It matches the Rfam family "Eukaryotic small subunit ribosomal RNA", at positions 1470 to 1796 of the family's 1831-position model. The record is from RNAcentral.